RNA transcript from Panicum virgatum (switchgrass), 1808 nucleotides. It is a transcript of the gene named putative disease resistance protein RGA3, with no coding region annotated. The transcript is spliced from 2 exons. NCBI's taxonomy places the organism in Eukaryota, Viridiplantae, Streptophyta, Magnoliopsida, Poales, Poaceae. The record is from RefSeq and is a predicted model, not a curated record.
CCCGGUAUGGCGAGGUAUGGCGCUCGCCAUACCUCGCUCCGGCCACCAAAACCCACAGACACAUGUAGCUGAAGUUGUGGCUUCCGAUUUGAAGGAAAGAAGUUGCCGUGUUGGUCGCCAGAUGCAAUAUUUUUAGCCACGAUCCCACUGACAUGUCUUUGUCCAUUAAUCUGAUGACCACACCGGCUCUCUCCACGCUGGCUGUGGAGGACAGCCUACAAAGGGCUCUCCUCCGGGCACAGGUCAUCUCUGAGGAGGCUGUGGGACGGCACAUCACAAAUCAAGCCAUGCUCCAGCAGUUGGGCUUGCUGAGAGAUGCCAUGCAUCGAGGCUAUUAUACACUCGAUACCUUCAGGUACCAGUCUCAGUAUGCUGAGGGCAGCAAAGAUCAAGCUGUGAGUCACUCUAUGUCCCCAUCCAAGGUGAACUCUGCUAGGAGCCCCUGUUUCUCUAGUCCAAGUGCAAAGAUCUUGGGACCACUACGAGAGGCACUUGACAGAUUGACCUCCAUGAUUGUUGAUGUGAAUGAGUUGGUCAUUUUCUUGAGGAGCUACCCUCGUCUGUAUCGCCAACCUUACAGCAUGCAUAUCCUGUUGGGUAACUGCAUGUUUGGCCGCCAGAUGGAAGUAGAACUUGUCAUUAAUUUCCUGUUGCACGAACAAUCCCAUGGUUCUGAAGAAUUGGAGGUCCUGCCAAUUGCCGGUCCAGCCAGAAUCGGGAAGAGCACCCUUGUUGCUCAUGUUUGCAAGGACGAACGAGUCCGUGAUCAUUUCUCAGAAAUCUUUUUCCUGCACAGCCAUGAGGUUACAGAUGACAAGCUAGCUUUUAGAGAAGGAUGUACAAUGAAAGAUCAGAAUACCGUGCCAAAAUCGAACAAUGAGAAGAUAUUGCUAGUUGUUGUUGAGUUACCUGGGGAUCCUAAUGAAGAUGCAUGGAGUAGGUUGUAUCAUGCUAUUAAACGGUGUGUUCCCAGCGGAAGUAAAAUCAUAGUCACCAGUCGGUCAGACAAGGUUGUAAAAUUAGGGACAACGCGGCCUAUAACUCUGGAGUAUCUGCCCGAUGAGGCGUAUUGGUAUUUCUUCAAGACGCUUACAUUUGGAAGCAUGGAUCCGGAGAUGCAUCCGAGGCUCAUGCAACUGGCCAUGGAGAUAGCCAGAAUGCAGAAUGGUUCCUUUGAUGGCGCACACAUCACUUCGUGUUUGUUAAGGGGCAACUUUGACAUUCAUUUUUGGUCCAAGGUUCUGAGCUUCUUGAGAGGGUUCGUCCAGAAGCAUGUCUCCAAAUUCGGUGAGCAUCCAGUUUAUUCUCUGGGCCAAAAUAGACCUACACAAUUUGGGAGAAUGGUUACACCUUCUCAAGAAUUUGUUGUUUCUCAUCAGUAUCAAUGCUCUUCACAAGAGGAGGUUCCAAAGAUAAGACUCCAAGAUGUGAUGUAUUCAAGUGUUAAGCCUCAUGGUGAAUUUAAUGUCCUAUCAUGGAGAUCUCAGAUACCGCCAUACUAUAGCUACAUCGCUACUUGUGAGAUUAGAGAGCCAAGAACUAAAGCUGCCAAGAGGAAGCGUUCUAUGAAAGAUGAAGUAACAGUUGGUUAGUUUCAUCAUUGUCUGGCAUAUGUAGGAAUAUAUUUUAUGUUUUUACUUUUGGUAGGCCACAAAUUACAGCAUAGUCAAAAUGAAUAAGGAUCUGGAUCUCAGAUGCGACAACAUUGUCAAAAAUUGCUAUCACUACAUUUUCAUAUGUAAAACAUUUAAUGUAAAUGUUAAUUUGUCUACAGAACGAUGAUAACGAUGAUGACGUUGAAGCAUAAA